CCGUUUUUGUCUUAAGUGAAGGUAAACAUGAGAGAAAUCGCAGUAUUACAGUGUUUUUAGUUCUGCGAGCGUUCGGGGUUAAAGAGACAGCAGUCUAAUAAACGCACUGCCUGUCAUUAACACUAAUCAAAGAACAACAGAAAAUCAUUCACCGAUCUUGACUGAAUAUCUUUAAUAACUUCAUCUGAUUUUGU
Sinocyclocheilus grahami is the source of this 194-nucleotide long non-coding RNA. RefSeq lists it as uncharacterized. The transcript has 3 exons. NCBI's taxonomy places the organism in Eukaryota, Metazoa, Chordata, Actinopteri, Cypriniformes, Cyprinidae. The record is from RefSeq and is a predicted model, not a curated record.